Molecule: ribosomal RNA, 913 nt
Filed under: uncultured marine archaeon
Lineage: Archaea
Description: bacterial SSU rRNA
Rfam family: Archaeal small subunit ribosomal RNA
Source: RNAcentral
UUCCGGUUGAUCCCGCCGGACCUGACUGCUAUCGGAUUGAUACUAAGCCAUGCGAGUCUUUGUAGUAAUACAAGGCAGACGGCUCAGUAACACGUAGUCAACCUACCCUAUGGACGAGAAUAAUCUCGGGAAACUGAGCAUAAUUCUCGAUAGAUCAUAAUGCCUGGAAUGGUUUAUGGUUAAAAUGAUUCGUCGCCAUAGGAUGGGACUGCGGCCUAUCAGCUUGUUGGUGAGGUAAUGGCCCACCAAGGCGAUUACAGGUACGGGCUCUGAGAGGAGAAGCCCGGAGAUGGGUACUGAGACACGGACCCAGGCCCUAUGGGGCGCAGCAGGCGAGAAAACUUUGCAAUGUGCGAAAGCACGACAAGGUUAAUCCGAGUGAUUUCUGCUAAAGGAAUCUUUUGCCAGUUCUAAAAAUACUAGUGAAUAAGGGGUGGGCAAGUUCUGGUGUCAGCCGCCGCGGUAAAACCAGCACCUCAAGUGGUCAGGAUGAUUAUUGGGCCUAAAGCAUCCGUAGCCGGCUCUGUAAGUUUUCGGUUAAAUCUAUGCGCUCAACGUAUGGGCUGCCGAAAAUACUGCAGAGAUAGGGAGUGGGAGAGGUAGACGGUACUCGGUAGGAAGGGGUAAAAUCCUUUGAUCUAUCGAUGACCACCUGUGGCGAAGGCGGUCUACCAGAACACGUUCGACGGUGAGGGAUGAAAGCUGGGGGAGCAAACCGGAUUAGAUACCCGGGUAGUCCCAGCUGUAAACGAUGCAGACUCGAUGAUGCAUUGGCAUAUAGCCAGUGCAGUGUCGCAGGGAAGCCGUUAAGUCUGCCGCCUGGGAAGUACGUACGCAAGUAUGAAACUUAAAGGAAUUGGCGGGGGAGCACCACAAGGGGUGAAGCCUGCGGUUCAAUUGGAGUCAACGCCGG